RNAcentral lists this ribosomal RNA (253 nucleotides) under uncultured bacterium. Its description in RNAcentral is "partial 16S ribosomal RNA". It matches the Rfam family "Bacterial small subunit ribosomal RNA", at positions 524 to 776 of the family's 1533-position model. The record is from RNAcentral.
UACAGAGGGUGCAAGCGUUGUUCGGAAUUAUUGGGCGUAAAGCGUCCGUAGGUGGUGGUUCAAGUCUGCUGUCAAAAACUGGGGCUUAACCCCAGGAAGGCGGUGGAAACUGAACUGCUAGAGUGUGGUAGGGGCAGAGGGAAUUCCCAGUGUAGAGGUGAAAUUCGUAGAUAUUGGGAAGAACACCGGUGGCGAAGGCGGCAACCUGGUCCUUGACUGACGCUGAGGCGCGAAAGCGUGGGGAGCAAACAGG